Molecule: ribosomal RNA, 442 nt
Filed under: uncultured bacterium
Lineage: Bacteria
Description: partial 16S ribosomal RNA
Rfam family: Bacterial small subunit ribosomal RNA
Source: RNAcentral
CCUACGGGAGGCAGCAGUGGGGAAUAUUGGGCAAUGGGCGCAAGCCUGACCCAGCAACGCCGCGUGAAGGAAGAAGGCUUUCGGGUUGUAAACUUCUUUUGUCAGGGAAGAGUAGAAGACGGUACCUGACGAAUAAGCCACGGCUAACUACGUGCCAGCAGCCGCGGUAAUACGUAGGUGGCAAGCGUUUUCCGGAUUUACUGGGUGUAAAGGGCGUGUAGCCGGGUUGACAAGUCAGAUGUGAAAUCCUGCGGCUUAACCGGAGAACUGCAUUUGAAACUGUUGAUCUUGAGUACUGGAGAGGCAGACGGAAUUCCUAGUGUAGCGGUGAAAUGCGUAGAUAUUAGGAGGAACACCAGUGGCGAAGGCGGUCUGCUGGACAGCAACUGACGGUGAGGCGCGAAAGCGUGGGGAGCAAACAGGAUUAGAUACCCCAGUAGUC